This 219-nucleotide long non-coding RNA is filed under the name Elaeis guineensis (African oil palm). Its description in RNAcentral is "long non-coding RNA (EGUI_LNC034359)". Lineage: Eukaryota; Viridiplantae; Streptophyta; Magnoliopsida; Arecales; Arecaceae. The record is from RNAcentral.
CUUAAACACAACUAAUAAAAAUCCUAAGUUUCGAUACCCUCACAAAACUGACAAAAAUGAUAUCGUCUAAUAUCCUAAUCGGUCCAAUUAAGAUAAUUUUAUAUGAUUAUGAUUAAAAUAUAAAAUAGAUGGUUCAAUAGAGAUCAAUGGUGAUCAAAGCUAUUAGUAUUCAUCUUAGCCAAAAAAAAAGCUAUUAGUAUUCAACAAAAGUCAAAGUGG